AGGGUUUGAUCCUGGCUCAGAACGAACGCUGGCGGCGUGGCUAAGACAUGCAAGUCGAACGGACCAAUGUAUUUAUAUAUUGGUUAGUGGCGAAAGGGUUAGUAACAGGUGGGUAACGUACCCUGUGCUUCGGGAUAGCGUCAGUUGCCUUCGGGCAACUUUCCGAAAGGGGCAUUAAUACCGAAUAAUAUCAAGAGUCGAUAGGCUUUUGAUCAAAGAUUUAUCUGCACGGGAGCGGCCUGCCUCCUAUCAGCUUGUUGGUGAGGUAAUGGCUCACCAAGGCAAUGACGGGUAGCGGGACUGAGAGGUUGGCCCGCAACAUCGGGACUGAGACACUGCCCGGACCUCCACGGAGGGCUGCAGUAACGAAUAUUGUGCAAUGGGCGAAAGCCUGACACAGCGACGCCGCGUGUAGGAGGAAGUCCCUCGGGAUGUAAACUACUGUCAGGGGGAAGAAAGUGCAUUUCGGUGCAUUGAUCCACCCCAGAGGAAGUCACGGCUAACUUCGUGCCAGCAGCCGCGGUAAGACGAAGGUGGCUAGCGUUGUUCGGUAUUACUGGGCUUAAAGCGUGUGUAGGCGGAAAAGUAAGCGUCUUGUGAAAGCCCCCGGCUUAACCGGGGAAUUGCGUGACGAACUACUUUUCUUGAGGCAAGCAGGGGUGCAUGGAACUCUUGGUGGAGCGGUGGAAUGCGUAGAUAUCAAGAGGAACGCCAGUGGAGAAAUCGGUGCACUGGGCUUGUCCUGACGCUGAGACACGAAAGCGUGGGUAGCGAACGGGAUUAGAUACCCCGGUGUCCACGCUGUAAACGAUGCCUACUAGGUUGUGGGGGUUCUGACACUCGCACAGCCGAAGCAAAAGUGUUAAGUAGGCCGCCUGGGGAGUACGGUCGCAAGGCUAAAACUCAAAGGAAUUGACGGGGGCUCACACAAGCGGUGGAGCAUGUGGAUUAAUUCGAUCAACGCGCAGAACCUUACCUGGGUUUGACAUGCUUGGAUGCCUUUCCUGAAAGGGAGUAGGCUGCCCUUCGGGGUGAAACUUGCACAGGUGCUGCAUGGCUGUCGUCAGCUCGUGUCGUGAGAUGUCGGGUUAAGUCCUUUAACGAGCGAAACCCUUACCAUUAGUUGCCAGCGGGUCAUGCCGGGGACUCUAAUGGGACUGCCGGUGUUAAACCGGAGGAAGGCGGGGACGACGUCAAGUCAUCAUGGCCUUUAUGCCCAGGGCCUCACACGUGCUACAAUGGCGGGGACAAAGCGACGCAAGAUCGCAAGAUGGAGCAAAUCGCAAAAACCUCGCCCCAGUUCGGAUUGCAGGCUGGCAACUCGCCUGCAUGAAGCCGGAAUCGCUAGUAAUCGCGUAUCAGCUACGACGCGGUGAAUGUGUUCCUGAGCCUUGUACACACCGC
This 1404-nucleotide ribosomal RNA is filed under the name metagenome. Its description in RNAcentral is "bacterial SSU rRNA". It matches the Rfam family "Bacterial small subunit ribosomal RNA". The record is from RNAcentral.